GUGGGGAAUAUUGGACAAUGGGCACAAGCCUGAUCCAGCAAUGCCGCGUGGGUGAAGAAGGUCUUCGGAUCGUAAAGCCCUUUCGACAGGGACGAUGAUGACGGUACCUGUAGAAGAAGCCCCGGCUAACUUCGUGCCAGCAGCCGCGGUAAUACGAAGGGGGCUAGCGUUACUCGGAAUUACUGGGCGUAAAGGGCGCGUAGGCGGCUCUGUUAGUCAGGCGUGAAAUUCCUGGGCUUAACCUGGGGACUGCGCUUGAUACUGCAGGGCUUGAGGCCGAGAGAGGGUGGUGGAAUUCCCAGUGUAGAGGUGAAAUUCGUAGAUAUUGGGAAGAACACCGGUGGCGAAGGCGACCACCUGGCUCGGUUCUGACGCUGAGGCGCGACAGCGUGGGGAGCAAACAGGAUUAGAUACCCCUGUAGUCC
RNAcentral lists this ribosomal RNA (425 nucleotides) under uncultured bacterium. Its description in RNAcentral is "partial 16S ribosomal RNA". It matches the Rfam family "Bacterial small subunit ribosomal RNA", at positions 354 to 796 of the family's 1533-position model. The record is from RNAcentral.